UUGAGGGUGUGGGGUCACUGCACCCACUGUGGUUCCCGAAGUGGAGGUCAGUCGUAGGAGGGCCAACGCUGGGGGCCUUCGGUCGUUGACGGGAGGGGAGAUGGUGCUAGUACUUCAGGCCGACUGGGGAAACCGACGCACUGGGCAGAAGAACUUGGGUUGAGUGGAGAGGGCAGUGGUAACAGGCCGCAGUCAAUCUUAAGAUGGCUAUGUCUCUGGCUGACAUCUGAACCACAACUUCAUGAAAGACCCUGAGCCAGAACCUCCCCUCCCCACCCCAGGAACAGUGCCCUGAAAUUCCUGAAUCUCAGCAGAAACUACCUUCCCAUAACUAAUCUAACCGUGAGAAAAACAUCAGACAAUCUGAAUUGAUGUACGUUCUACAGAAUACCUGAACAGGUCAGUAAAAAUAAAAACUGAGAAAGGAGCCAAGAGAAGCAUCAGGAGACCAGAAAAUUAGAUGUAAUAUACUCCAUUGGAUGGGAUCCUGGAACAGAAAAAGGAAAAUAAGUACAAAAUGCAAAGUCAACCUCUGGGGCAAAAUUCCACCUUUCUCCUUCUGCCACACAAGUGGUAAAUAACAUUACCCAAUAAAUUUUAGCAUUUCCUCAAAUGUGUAGGAUACAAAAAAUGUAUUCAUUCGUGUGAGAUAUAAAAAUGUACACUCACACUUCUGAAAUCAACAGCCAGCCAUUUCACACUUGGGCCAAAGGCAAACAAACAUAAUUCUCACUGGCAGCUGGACAACAUUCCAAGCUGCCACCACAUUAAUUAACUCACCUCAAUCAGAUUCCACUUCAACUUGCACAGCUUGCUGCCAAGACGCCUAGCAAUAAAUUGUUAGGUUAAAUACUGAACAAGAUUUGGGAUCACGUUUUGAGGAAUACUGGACUACAUGAUAGCUAAGAUUCCUUUACCUCUAAUAGUGCCUAAUUUUACAUACCCGGCCUUAUCAUUGCUUUUAUAACUUGUGUGAUUUGGGAAAGCAGCAUGAUUGGGAGUGUUGAUCCAUGGUUUAAUCUGCAAUAGGCAGUUUAAAUGCCUACUGAAAAAGAUUGAGACCAGCAGAAUAUGACUAUCCAAAUUCAUGUGAUCAAAUCAGGGCCUUGCACAUGCUGAGCAAGCACUCUACCGCUGAGCUACACUUCCUGCCCCAUGUUAACAUGUAAUUUAUUUUAAGUAAACUAAAUAUUUAAAAAUUUCUCCAUUUUAAUUAAAAUAGAUAAAUACAGAUGGGUAUAACCCAUAUCAAGUGAAAGUUCUUUGGUGACCUCAGUAAUUGAAGAGUGUUAUUAAAGGCCCUAAAACCAGAGUUUGACAAUGCUGAUUUAAGUCAUUUGUGUCUUUUGAAGUCCAAAUGAAAGCCUGCCUCCUUAGUAUGUUGUUUGGCCAGUGCAACUAAAAAGGAAAAGGUUUUAUUCAUUCAAUUUGUUUAGUGUUUUCCAUAUUCUCCUGUCUAUUCUGAAUGCCAGGGCUGCUUUUGUGAUUCUUUUGUGCCAUUCACCUAACCACCAAGAUAGUGCCAAAAAGAAUUAAUAAGGUUAUACUGAUUAAGAAUGAUAGAGUUUGGUCAUGAAUCAUAAAUAAUCCUUAUACUUCCAGUCUCUGAUUAGAGUCUUUCCAGAUUAAAAGGGAAAAAGAACAUUUUUUUUCUUGAGUCAACUGAUCCUUUUUACUAGAAAAUUUUAAUAAAUUUUAAUAAAAUACACAUAAUAUUUGUUUUGAUUUUUUAUUUUAAACUUGAUAAAUGUUCAUUGAGAAAGAAUGAAACAAAAAAUUAGAAAUCAAAAAGUUAAAUUCACUCAUAAUGCCAUUAUCCCAAGAUAACAAUUGCUAAUAUUUUAGUGUAUGUCUUUCCAGUUUUUGCCUAAAUACAUAUUUUUAAUAAAUUUAAGUUGUAUCGAAC
Sciurus carolinensis (gray squirrel) is the source of this 1906-nucleotide long non-coding RNA. RefSeq lists it as uncharacterized. The transcript has 6 exons. The record is from RefSeq and is a predicted model, not a curated record. Lineage: Eukaryota; Metazoa; Chordata; Mammalia; Rodentia; Sciuridae.